Non-coding RNA from Carnobacterium sp., 67 nucleotides. Lineage: Bacteria; Bacillati; Bacillota; Bacilli; Lactobacillales; Carnobacteriaceae. The record is from Rfam.
CGUAGUAACAACGAAUAGUGAGAAGUCAGCAGACGCCAUAGUAGGAGAACACAGUUCUCUGAAGGGC